AGCUCCAAUAGCGUAUAUUAAAGUUGUUGCAGUUAAAAAGCUCGUAGUUGGAUUUCUGGUCUGAUGCCCUGGCCCGCCGCGAUUUCGCGUGUGAGUGCCGGCUGUGCGUCUGCCAUCCUUCUAGAGAACGAUCCUACCUUUAACUAGGCCGGGUUCGCGAUCUAGAUCUUUUACUUUGAAAAAAUUAGAGUGUUUAAAGCAGGCUUUUGCUAUGAAUACAUUAGCAUGGAAUAAUAAUCUAGGACUUCGGUUCUAUUUUGUUGGUUUCUAGGACUGAAGUAAUGAUUGAUAGGGAUCGUUGGGGGUGCUAGUAUUGUGCGGCCAGAGGUGAAAUUCUUGGAUUCGCGCAAGACUAACUUAUGCGAAAGCAUUCACCAAGGAGGUCUUCUUUAAUCAAGAA
Molecule: ribosomal RNA, 400 nt
Filed under: phytoplankton environmental sample
Lineage: Eukaryota
Description: partial small subunit ribosomal RNA
Rfam family: Eukaryotic small subunit ribosomal RNA
Source: RNAcentral